This 11180-nucleotide long non-coding RNA is filed under the name Citrus maxima (pomelo). Its description in RNAcentral is "long non-coding RNA (CMAX_LNC003615)". The record is from RNAcentral. Lineage: Eukaryota; Viridiplantae; Streptophyta; Magnoliopsida; Sapindales; Rutaceae.
GGGUCCCAUGAUAAAGGGAAGAGUAAGGGAGAUGAAAAAAAAGGCAAUUAUCAAUUAUCUUUAGUGUUCUUCAAGCACAAGCCACUUUAUUCAACUUUAAACCAUUACUAAUUUAGAGCAAUUAGGCCACUUUACACGUUGAGGUUGUUUUGACUUUGAGCAUUGGGCAGCCACAGCUCAACCACCUCAUGUUAUCUUGUUGACUGAUCUCACUUGAUUCUUAAGAUGACAGUGCCUCAACUCUGAAGCUAGCUACUUCAUCAUUACACGAACCAAUGUGCACGCAGCAGGUUCGAACUUAGUAGGAAUGCCCCUGUCUAGCUAGGUGGUACAACUUUGAGCACUGGAUUGCUCUCAAAGAAAUUGGACGGCCGCAGCUCAAACCCACCAUUGAAUGUAGGCAUCACAGGAAAAUCUUCUUGACAAGGCACAUGAUGGAAUCCCAAUGUGUACCAUAGCACUAUGUCCUUAUUCUCUAUGCUUCUGUUCCUGCAUUAACAUUGAAAAAAUAUCAACCUUGUAAUAAAUUAAUCUCACCACGAUCAAUUAAGGGUGCAUGAUGCAUUAAUCUUUUUGACGAGGCAAAUGAUGCAUUGUGUUUACAUUUGCAUUAAGUGGGCUUUUACCUUUUGCUCCAUACAGAUAAGGUGUCAUCCCCACGGCUUUGAUCAGCAUAAAGCCCACCAGCCCAUUUCUCAGAAAUGUUAUAUGCGGUGACCCACGCAUUGUAGUUAGUGAACGCCGCUCUGAUUUGUGGGUAAUCAUCGUCUGAUAAGAGGGGACCGACCACCCCGUAUGGAACCAGACGGUAACCAAUGAGGUUCCCUACCUUGGUCUUCUUAUUAGGAUUAACAAAUAGCAAAUCAACCGGUUCUGAUCCAAGCUUAAUCCUUGCGUCAGAUUCUGUUCUGGCAGUCUCACUAUCAACCGUCCAAUAACUCUUUCUCGGUGAUCCAUGAUCAUUGACUCUGACUGUCCGCAAUUUAGACUUGACAAAGGAGUUAGCAUCACCGUCCACGUCAAGAUCAAGACGGUAGAUUAGGAAGUGAUCAUGGCGUACACCAAUUGUAUUUUCUGCGAUCAAUGCGCCGUAAACAUCCUCCUCUAUUUGAUCUUUGUGGGUGUAGUUUGUUCCCCUCACUUCCAGCAUCCCAGUUAGCCCAACCUGCAUGAACAUCAAAUAAUAAAACAUAAUCGCAUAAUUUCAUUUCAAUAAUUCAUUUAUUAUUUUAAAAACUAAAUAACAUUAGUUUUCAAGAAAUAUAAGGUAUCUACCUAUUGUACAAUCUUACAAAUAUCUGCAUCAAAUUGAAUUUUAUAUACCGUGACUUUGAUGGAGCCACUCUGCUUAAAUUCCCAAUCAUUGAUAUAAUCAUAGUUGCCCACCGUCGAUACCGUUCGCACCACCAAGCUGACCUCUGGCCUAACCUCUCUUAUCUACAUUUUUAUUUUUAUUUUUUCAAAAAUAAUCGUUAAAACUAGAGUCUAGAAGUAGAACCAUAUAUUUUCAAGAAACAAAAGUAUAUAUGUAUUCACGUACCAGUUUCUCCGGAUCGGUAGCUUCAGUGUGACGCCACAUGACGUCUCCGGCAUAACGUUCGAAGAUGCAAAAAACGUUAGGCAUUUUCAGGGGCAUCCCAUCAUUCUUAGCAAAAUACGCGUCCAUGAAGACAGCAUUCGGUGGGCAGUCUCUGAGAGGCUGAAGCGGCAGCGAGCUUAAACCGUAGCCGUAUUCGCCCACAUCAAAGAAGCUUCGGUAGUACCAUUCCUCUGUUAGAUCCAUGUAUGGCACGAACAGCUCCGAUACAUGCCCUUUGUAUAACACUUGACGAGAUUGUUGCUUCUCUGGAUCGUAUAUUGAUGCCACUGAUAUUAUCAUUCCUGCUCUAGCAUCGAAACUUAGAUGAAACUCCCAGUCGGCCCACCUUAUUUAUAAUUAAUUGUAAGUACCAAAUGAACAUAUUUAAUAUUGAAUUAAUUAUAGAGUCUGACGUAUAUUAAAAUUGUGAAUUCUAAUGUUUCAAUUAGUCUACCAGUUAUCCAUUUGCAAUAAGAUUAAAAUACCCACCCAUUCAGUAAAUAUUUCUUGUAUUAUUACUCGAAAUCGGCUGCGCCCAUGAGCUGCUUAUAAAUUUAGGGUGCGUUUAGGAUAGACGUUGGGUACAACACUAAAGUGUUUAGUAAACACUAACUGCUGUAACUUGAAAACUAUAUUAAUAAAAAUUUUCACUUGUAUGAUGAAAGAUUUAUUAUAUCUUUAAUAAUUUUGUCAAAAUUAUUACUUUAAAUUUAUAUUUAUUAUAUAUUAUUAACUUUUAUUUCAUAGUUACAGAUUUUUUUUCACAGCAGCUGUAACUUAAAAGUUACAACACCUCAAUCCCAAACACACCCUUAAACUAGUAGAAAAUAUUGGUUGUUACUGAUUGCGUUAAACUUAUUGCAUAAGACGUUAACCUUUGCAUAUGAAAAAUGUUAAUAAGACGAGGCACUGAAAUAAACAGUGAAAAAUUCGAAUUGGUUAACACUAGCUUAUGGUCAUGUUUGAGAUUGAGGUACUGUAACUUUUAAGUUAUAGUUGUUAAAGAAAAAAUUUGUACCUAUGAAACAAAAAUUAAUAAUAUGUAGUAAAUAUAAAUUUUAAAUAAUAAUUUUGAUAAAAUUAUUAAAGAUAUAAUAAAUUUUCUGUUAUACAAGUGAAAAAUCUUAUCAACAUAACUUCCAAAAUACAGCAGUUAGUGUUUACCAAAUAUUUUAGUGAUGUAACUUUUAAGUUACAGCUGCCAAACCUCAAUUUCAAACACACCUUAUAUAUUGGUAAUGCAUAUAAUUAUUCUUUGUAUAUUAGAGAAUUAUUAUCCUCUGAUGAAUAUCUAUGUUGAGACCAAAUGAGGGGGGGGGGGGGCAUGUAAUUAAAUAAAUGAAGUGACUAGGAUAUAAGAAAUGUAGUAAUUAUAUAUUUAAAUUUGAUUUAAAUUUUAAAAUAUAUAUUAUUCUAAUUCAUAAAGAGUGGCUAGUAAAUAAGAAUAUACAAAUAGUCAAAUUAUAUAAGUACAAAAUCUUAAGAAAAAAUAAAUAGAAAAGAGAGAAAAGUGUUAUGCUAAAAAGAUCAUGGGGCUGAUUUAUGGUUCCAUCAUGACUGUAUCGAGGUUUUACACCCUCCUUCUGUUUUGCCUUAGUUUUCAUUAGGCACAUUUAUGUAUCAAAAGGAAAAAAAAAAAUCACGGGGCUAGUAAAAAUAGGAUAAAACAAAUUCAUCUUUUUUUUAAUUACUUUUAAAUUAAAUAUGUAAAAAUGACACCGAUUUUAUUUUAUUUCUGUCAGCAUCCUAUCAAAACUUUUUGUCUAAAAUAUGGCUCAUGAGUGAAAAUAAUUGGUUACCUGAUCUGACUUCCGACGAUAUUGAAACUUGGGCCGUCCGGUUGAACCACCGUAGUCCUCUUCAAGCUCGGCCUGAAAGGAGGCUUCAACUUAGAUUCUCUAUAUUCAGUCCCAUCACUUUUUGGUACAGGGACAAUAAUUCUAUCACGAAACUGAAUGAUCUUCAUCUCAUCGAGAUCAACGGUCAUAGUAAUUCCCUCGAUCGGCCUCAUGUCAGCAUUCAGUGUCCCAUCCAAAUAAUAACACAUCAUCUUAACAAUCCUCUUAUUCUUCCUCUCCUCCCCAAACCAUCCAACAGUAAAACUCCCGCACACCACCUCUUCGAGCUUAAGCCCUCUCUUGCUAAUCGAGGCCACGAACAGCGGGUAAGUGGACGCCAACUUGUUUGCAUCCUCUUGUUCUUCCUCAGUAAGCAAAGGGUAGCCAUAGCCGUUGUAAGUCUGUUUGGACGUAAUUUCUUGCAGCGAUAAGUCCACGAUGAUCUCGUGCGUUUGAUGGUCUAUACGUGCGACAACAAAGGCUUGGCGAGGUGGGUGUGUGGUGGUUUCGUUUCUGAGCCAUGAGAGAACUGUUUGUUUGGUUGGUUCUUCUAAGCCUACAUAUUGAAAGGUUAAGUUGUGGGUUGAUUUGGGGUAAGCCUUUGUGACAAUGCUUCGGAUUUGAAUGAAUUCCGAUGGAGUUAAGGAGUCGAGUGGGUGGUACUGGUGGCUGGGAAUGAGGAAGAAAAUGUGAAGAAGAAGGGCGAAAAGGAUGGUUUUGGAAGUAGCAACCAUUGUUAGUUAACAAGUGGUAUGGUUCUGUGCAUGGCUAACUAUUUUAGAAGGAAUUUGGAUACUGAUUUUAUUUUAUUUUUUUAAUGAUAGAAGCCACGUCAUUCAUGUAUUGAUCUUCACGGUUGAAAAUAAGUGUGAAUCUACCAAUAAGCGCAUAGAUCAGCUGGGCUAUUCUAAUUUAACCAAGAUCUUCGAUUCGAAGCUUAGAAAUGCAGUUGCGUUGAAUACUUGUUGGGAGAGUUUUACUACCUUAGUGGUCCUACUCAACUCGAAUAUAGAUUAGUCGAGGGCCAAUAUGGUCUUCGCAUAUCAGAUAGUUUAAUACACCAAAAAGAAAAUAAGUGUGAAUCCAUCCCUAUAUUUAAUUACCUAUAUAAUCAUAUGCAAUAAUCAUUGUCAAAAAAUUUCUAAAAAUUUAACUUAAAAAGUUUUCACAGGUUUCCUUAUAAUUUGAAUUUUUAUUUGAGCAAAUAAAAUUAUGUGAUUGGUAGCUAUUAAAUAGAAAUAAAUAAAGAAAUAAAUAUUGACUAUUCAAAAUAGAAAUGCAUAUAUGUCAAAAAAUUCUUUAAAACUCGGAUAACUUCAAAUUAUGACAGGAUGUGUCCAAUUCCUUCCAUUGAAUCCUUGAUGAUUUAAAUCAUAAAAAAAAAAUUAUAUACAAGUAAAAUCAAUGUUAUAGAUUUUAAAUAAAAUAAUUAGAUAAGAAUAUUUUCUAGAAAAUAAUUUAAUGAGUCCAUUCUGAAUUAUUAGAUUAAACACCAAGCUAAAAAAAAAAAUUAUGGUUUCUAAAAUUGUGAUCAAUCACCCGGUUAGCCCUUAUAUUUUAAAUAAUUACUCAAAACAAUUUUGUUGUUACUUUUUAUAGGUGUUGGAUUAAAGUUUCAAGGUUUUUCUAGCUAUUAUAAUGUAAAAAUUCAAAUAAAUAUAAUAUGCAACUAAUGAAAAAUACAGAAUAAUUAAAUAAAUUUAAAUAAAAAUAAAGGUAUAAUUUAGAUAUUUUAAAUAAUUUUUAACAAUAUGUGGACUAAAAAAAUAAUUAACUCAAACCUCAAGAGCUAGAGUAGCAAUUACCCACUUAAUACCAAUCAACGGUUGGUGGUUUGUGGGGUAGAAGAGGAUGUGUGAUUAAAGUAAUAAUUAUCUGUUCACUGAUCGAAUGCAAAUUAAUUGGUAAUAAAAUAAAGUAGCAGCCUAGCAGAGUAGCAGGUUAUUGGCUGAUGGAAUCUUUCUGCCGGCUGCACUGUCCAUAACACUGGACGGGUCCAAUAUAGGAUCAGCUUGGGGCCGUGCCCGAGCUAGCUUUUGAAAACGUUUUUCUACGAUUAUUAGGAAAUAUAUAUUUUAUUUAUUAUUUAAGAGUUUAAAUAUUUUUGCAUUAUAUAAAAUUUUUUAUUAUUAAAAGAUUUUAAAAAUAAAUUAAGUGAUAAUAAAAAAGACAUUUUUGAUUGUAUUGAUAAUGAAAUUUAUUUUACAUCUUUUUUAACACAUUAAAUACUAUUAAAGAAUCUUUGACGAGAACAAUUGUAAUAAGUAAAUUUAUUAUCAACGUAUAUUUUAGUUGCAAUGUUAUAUAUUUUUAUCUAAAAUUUUAAACUUGUGUUAUACUUAAAAUGGAGUAUUGAUCAUGUUCAUGCAGUUAUACAAUUUAUAAAGCACGAUAAGGCACAUAACAAGCUCCUAUUUGGAGAUUGUGGGGCCCACAACACAGCUCCCGAAAUGCGAACUUGACGCGCUUGCAAUUGCGCACCUAAUUCAAUUUUAAAUAUAUCUCAACUCAAUCAAAAUCAUUACUAUGUCCCUCGUCCGUAAUACUCAUAUAAUACUUCCAACAAGAAUUGUGACAAUGUGAGCAAAAUGAAUUUUCACUAACUCUCAUAUUUGAGGCUCAACAUCAAUCGAUCAGUGAAAAUUUUAAUGUAUUGUUUGGAGAAAAAUUUAUCAAUGAAAGUAUGAAAUAUUAUUAUCGUGUUAAUUUUGCAUGAGUGUUGUAAAAUGAUAACGUAUUCUUUCACCAAAUAUUCAAAAUUUGACAAAGAAUGGAGCUACAAGCCCCCCACAAUAAUCUCAUAAAACCUAUAUUCUGAAUGCACCCAUUAAUUAAAGUACUAAAAUUACUUUUUUACUAAUAAUAUUCAUUUUAAUUCCUCAAAUCGCCCAAUCUUCUUCAUUCUCAUCGAACCCAAAAAUAAUUUAUUUUUAAAUCUCAUGACUAAUAGUAAAUUCGGUUAGAUAUAGCACUCAAUAAAAGCAAUAAGGCACCAUGACUAAUAAACUUACACUUUUCCUUAAUGAAAGUAUCAAAAACCCAUUUGAUUGCUAUUCUGCGUGUGUAAGGGAAAAAUAUAUUUAUGCCUCUUUUGCAUAGGUUUGUUGUUUUAUGGCUCAAUUUUUAUUAUUAUUAUUAUUUGGGAAAAAAAAUUGGCUUCUUAAUAAUAUAGGGGUGUAAAGAGUUCUUAUAAUUUAUUUUGAUUUGAAUUAGAGAUCAUGUAAUUUCAACCAAGGUUAAAUGUGUAAAUGCAUAGUAGUGGAGUUUUAUAAGAACUUUUGAGGGGUACCAAUAGUAUCACUGUUUGACAAAUUUCGUCUUUACAAAACUAAUUAACUGUGAGACUAUAUAAAAAAUAUUCUUAUUUUUUUUAAUUGAAGAAACACAAAUUUCAUUCCACAUAUAUACAUACAUAUAUAUAUACAUAUAUAUAUAUAUGUAUACAUAUAUGUAUACAUAUAUGUAUAUAUAUAUAUAUAUAUAUAUGUAUAUAUAUAUAUAUGUAUAUAUAUAUAUAUAUAUAUAUAUAUAUAUAUAUAUAUAUAUAUAUAUACAUAUAUAUAUAUAUACAUAUAUAUGUAUAUAUAUAUAUAUAAAGUUAGGACUUGAGGAGGUGAUGUGGCAUCACUAUUUUUUAUCUUUGUAUAUUCUCUAUUAUCUAAUAAAUAGAGAAAUUUUCUUUUAAAUUUGACUUUUCAUCUUAUCAUAAUUAAUGUGAUUGUUAUUACACAAUAACAAUUAUGUAAAGAUUUUAAUGAGAGGGAGUGUUAUGAAUUUAUUAAAAUAAAUUUGGAUGUUCAUAACAUAUAUCUUUUAGUCUCUCACCAUCUCCCAUUAGCAACCUUUAACUUCCCUAUAACUCUCACUAUCUCACAAUGAAUUAUGAUCCAUAAUUUUUCAUUAAUUUCAUGGAGUGAUUAUGUAACUAUAAAAGGAGAGCUCAUCUUUUUGUUUUGUACACACACAAUUGGAAUGAAUAAAAUCACUCUAUAAUAUAUUCUCUCAUUUUAUUCUUUAUCUUGCGUUGCUUUUUUAUUUGUAUUGCUGGCUAAUAACUUUUUUUGUUUUUUAUAAGGCUGUCUCAUCUUAAAAAAAAAUCAAUUCAUAUUUUUUAUCAGUUUCAUCAAGUGUAAAGUAAGAAAAAAUGAUAAUACUAAAUUUUUUUUUCAAAGCCGUGUGAAGCAUGGUUUUAUUUUUUAGUAUAUAUAUAAAGUUGAGACUACAAGAGGCGAUGUGACAUCACUAUUUCUCAUCUUAUUAUAUUCUCAAUUAUCUAAUAUAUUGGUUGAGAUUAAAAAAUAAUUACAUUACAAAAUAUUAAAAAUAGAAAAUAAUUAUUAGAUUACAAAAUAUUACAUGUCUCUUCCUCUUUCUAUUUAAAUUCAACAAUAUGUAACCAUUAAUAAUAAUUAAUUAUAAGUCUUGAAACAUUCAUUUAUUUUAUUAUGCCAACAAUUAAAUUUUAGUGGUUUAAAAUACAUCAAUUAAUUAAUAAAGAAGGAAAAUUCCUUCAUUUUCCCUCAAUAAUGUCAUUAGAGCCUAAUUUUAAUGUCAUAAUCACAUAUUUAAUUAUGCAACAUUUUUUUAGUGCCUUUUGACUUCUUCAAAUUCUAUAAACAUUAAGUAUUUAAGAUUUGUGGCAUCAUUAUUUCUCAUCUUUUUAUAUUCUAUAUUAUCUAACAUAUUGGUUGAGAUUAAAAAAUAAAUAAUUACAUUACAAAUUAUUAAAAAUAGAAAAUAAUUAUUAGAUUAUAAAAUAUUACAUGUCUCUUCCUCUUUCUAUUUAAAUUCAACAAUAUGUAACCAUUAAUAAUAAUUAAUUAUAAGUUUUGAAAUGUUCAUUUAUUUUAUUAAGCAAACAACUAAACUUUAAUAGCUUAAAAUACAUCAAAUAAUUAAUAUAGGAAGGAAGGUUCAUUCAUCUUCCCUCACCAAUGCCACUAUGGCCUAAUUUUAAUGUCAUAAUCUCAUAUUUAAUUAUGCAACAUUUUGUUUAGUGUCUUUUGGUUUCUUCAAAUUUUAUAAACAUUAAGUAUUUAAGAUUUGUAUGUUUGGAUUUUUUUUAAUUAUUUAACCAACAUCCUCUUUAGAAAUAUUCUUAUAUUUUUAUUUUUAGUAUUGUGUGUUUCAUAGAGUACUCUUUUUUUCAUGAUUUGAACAAUAAUAAAGAUAGUUGGAUGAUAAGGGUUAGGUUUUGUAUGAUAUGGGAGUCUGUUAAUUUUAAGAAGAAUGGAGAAUUGAUUAGUGUGAACAUGAUUUUUAUUGAUGAAAAUGUUAUAUAAAAAAUUCAUUCUCCCAUUAUUUUCUCUAAUUUUUCCCCCCAAUUGUUUUAAACUUAAUGUAGCAUGUUUUUUUUCGUAGGAAAAUCUAAUACAUGCAACAAUCAAGAAAAAAUUAGUAACAAGGUUUAGGCACAUAUUGAGUGAGAGUUCUUUGUACAUUAUAAAGAAUUUGAAAGUUGUUUCAAUUACAGGCGAGUACAGACCACUUUCAAAUCAUUAUAAGAUUAUUUUCUUGGUUAUAAUUUUGCUUAAAAGGUUAUAAGAAAGAAUUGUUAAGAUUCCUAUCAAUGGAUUCCAAUUUAUAUCUCCGAAUUUAAUUGAUAUACAUGUGAAUGAUAACACAAUCUUCUCAGGUAUUUUUUUUAAUUAUUAAUGUUUGUUAAUCUUUAAGUGUAUAUUAGAAAUUAUUGAUCCUUAUGUUUUAACAUAUUUAUGUUAUUUUUCCAUAAUAUUAUAUAUGUUGUUGGGAGUUUAUGGGGUGUGGGUGAUAUUGAGAUCGUUAGAGCUGGUUGGAAAAAAAGAGAUAUAAAAGUUCUAACAGAUUAGCAAGUUGAAUAUAAUUUGGAACUUAUCAACAACUACAAAAAGUAUAAGGUUUAUACACUUACACUAUACACAUUAAUAUAUAUUUUUUAAGUUAACAAAAAAAUAAUUAACUUUCAUAAAUAACAUUAGUUUUAUAAGGCUGCUUCAUCUUAAAAAAAAUCAAUUCAUAUUUUUAUCAGUUUCAUCAAGUGCAAAGUAAGAAAAAAAGAUGAUACUAAAUUCUUUUUCCAAAGCCGCGCGAAUCGCAAUUCUAUUUCCUAGUUAAAUACAUAAGCAUAAAGCAACAAGAGUUAUUAAGUCAAUUGUAGUUGUAGACAAUUAAAUCAAUUUAUGAUUAAAGAUACUAUUUAUAUAUGUGUAAGGUUAUUUGAACCCACAAAACUACUCAUUAAAUUUAUUUUUAAAAGUAGUUUUUUAUGAUUAAAAUACUCUUAAAUUAAAUUACAAUCAUGGACAUUAAAAUAUAGUUAAAAAAAUUUACUCUUUGAACACAUCUUUACAUUCAACAUAAUUUUUUUAAACCCUAAUCAUAUUUUUAUUAAAUUCUAAUCAACUAGAGGCGUGAUUUUUCUUUCAAAGUACAUAUUUUUGUUAAUAAGGCACAUGCGAUUAGGUUCAAGAUAAUAAAGUUGGUGGUUAUAUCUUUAUUUGCCUUUGACGGUGGGCAACAACCAACGACAAGUAGUGUUGUUGAAAAACUUCUCUAAACUACUUCUUUGCACUUCAGCCCCGAUCGCCAUCAAAAGCUGCGGCGAAAUAUUUAGAAAGUUCCCAGGUAAAAACGUUUGGGAAUUGCCACUCAUAUAAUUUUCUUGACAACCAAACGAGGGAUUUGAUCGACGAAGAAACAUGGAGAUAUGCUUAUCGAUUUCUCUAUGAAGCUUCUCACGCCGUCUUCAUUUGAAAAUAUUAAAGAAAUUGCUUUCAGAACCAUGGCCUCUGCUUCAAAGACUGAGAUCAAGAAGGUUCUAGAGUCAUUGUGUGGUCUCAAAAUUGAGAAGGUAAGAACGCUGAAAAAAAAAAGAUGACCCUUGGUUGUUAGACCAAAUUAGAAGAAAGCCUACAUAACUAUGAAGAAGCCAGUAUCAUUUGCCUUUUGAUAUGCCUUUUUCAGAACCUAAGGAUCUUGAAUAAAUGAAAAUUUUAAAGUACAUAAAAUGUCAAAUAUUUUUGUUGAAGAGAUUGUAUUUACACAUUUUAAGCAAAUGUCGGCAAUCAAGAAUUUUUUCAACAAUGAUUUUUUUCCCGCAUUUUCUAAAAAGUAGAGUAUGAAAACAAGAGUAAUUAAAAAAAAGACAAAAAUGUUGUAGCCGUUGAUAUAAGUGAUUCUUUUUUAUGUUGGUGAUUACUGCAGAAGUAAUGAUAGGAAUAGAUAUUGUUUGUUUGUUACCUCCAUGAAGAAUUUGAAUAAUCUACAUCUUAAAUCAAGGCUGAGACAUUGUUAAAUGGGGUAAAAUGGGAUGAAAAGGUCUGAUAGUUACUAAUGGUACUAUAAUAAAUUUCUUUUUGAAAAAAAAAUAAUAAUAAGGAUGAAUAUGUGUUGUAACUGUAUUUUUCAAGAUUAUAUUAAUAAAGAAAAUCUUCAGUUUAGUGGGGGAAAAACAUUCGUUAAGAGUUUAUAAAUGAAUUUAAUGGGUUUUAUAAGUAAAGACACUAUUUAUUAUAAAAAUUAAGUUUAAUAAGGAUAUAUUGGAUAUUUAAGUGAGUUUAUUAAGUAAAAUUUAAAAUUUUAAAAUUUAAGCGUAGAAUUAUUUAAUAAAUGAGUUUAUUAAAUAAUUUAGGGAGUUCAAAUAACCUCACCCUUAUAAUAUAUAUCUCCACUCACUCCACCACACACAUCGCUCGAUGUUUAUGGAGAAAACUCCUCUUUAGGUUGUUUAACUUUGAGCACAGGAUUGCUCUCAAAGAAAUUGGAUGGCCGCAGCUCAAACCCAC